RNAcentral lists this ribosomal RNA (253 nucleotides) under uncultured bacterium. RNAcentral's name for it is "partial 16S ribosomal RNA". It matches the Rfam family "Bacterial small subunit ribosomal RNA", at positions 524 to 776 of the family's 1533-position model. The record is from RNAcentral.
GACGUAGGGCGCAAGCGUUGUCCGGAUUUAUUGGGCGUAAAGAGCUCGUAGGCGGCUCGUUGCGUCGGCUGUGAAAACCCGCAGCUCAACUGUAGGCUUGCAGCCGAUACGGGCGGGCUGGAGUUCGGAAGAGGCGAGUGGAAUUCCCGGUGUAGCGGUGAAAUGCGCAGAUAUCGGGAGGAACACCUAUGGCGAAGGCAGCUCGCUGGGACGUUACUGACGCUGAGACGCGAAAGCGUGGGGAGCAAACAGG